UCUUUCUUGACAAGUCUGAAAGGUACAUCUUGCUUUUAUCACAUGUUAUGCUUGUGAAAACUUUUAGGUAUGUUUUAUAGAACUUAUAGGUCUAUCUGGUAAGUUUUUGACCAUUUGUUUUACUUUUAUAAGAAUAUGAUGAGUUAUGAUAUAGAUUGGUACAGCACAAGUAUGAUAAAGGCUGUUGAAUAGCCAAAUUAUAUUAAGAGAAUAAUAAUGAAGUUAACUGAAAAUGUAGCCCUAACAAUGUUUAAAUAGUAUGAAAUAGGGCAAAAACCCUACUUAGACAAUAAGUACUGAAAUUACUUAAAAACCCCUAAGUUCAUAAAACUCAGAAAAAUUCAGAAGACCCAAAUCACUCUUUCCCGUGUGUUUUCUGGCCCCAAACAACACGUGUCAGGCUGAAGGCGAUGAUUCCUAUAGAUUUUGUCGAUAGUUUCGAUUUGAUACAUUAUGGGCCUGUAAUUUCUAAUGGCACCAACUGGGUCAUACACGGCCUUCGCGGACUUGGCUUCUUUUUUGGAUUCAACCGCUAAUUCUAACACUAGACUCGAACCUAUAACCUGUAAGCUUCAACUUGAAUUGAAAACUACUACUAAGCAGCCAGUAUGAAAACUAGAAAACUAGCAUCUAUAUGUCUCUCAAGCCUGGUUUUGGGGUUCUGUUCUUUUUCAUUUUACGCUAAGAAAAAGAAAAAAGAUCACAUAUUCAUUUAUGAAUACUGGUUUAAGAACAUUUACUUUGACAAUGUCAAAGCCCUCUUAACUUUCCAAUUAAAAUGGUAGAACUUGAGUGCCUUGAAAGGCAUAGGUUAUGGUUUCGAUACUCCAGAGAUGCAUUGAUCUCCUUUGGACCACUCAAACUGACAUAGUUUACCCGGUGCGUGUAAUCUGUGGGGGUAUUGCGUAUAGCGGUGGUUUAUCCAUGCACACCCAAAGGUAGUACGACAGGUUUCAUCGUCACCAAAAAUAAAAAGAAUAUAUAUAUAUAUAUAUAUAUAUAUAUAUAUAUAUAUAUAUAUAUAUAUAUAUAUAAUUAAUAGAGCUGUCAGCAAGUUUGCUUAAGAAUACAGAAUAUAGCUAGUACUAAAGUGUGUCAUCAACCAUCACUCUCAAUAUUUUAUUCCAUUUUGACAUCAAGGUCUUAGCAGACCUUGUGAAUUAGAGUAGAAUAUUUGUCUUUUCAAUUUGGAUUAUGUGUACCUUGUGGCACCAAUAUGGGGUUUGUUUGUCUCCUAGUAGUUGUCUCAAAUGCAUACUUGGCAUAAAAGUGACACUAGGGUAGCCCUUCUGUCUCUGGUAAAGGGCACAUAAUGACAGUCACUUGGCCAUGUCAAUCAUAUGCAUUUUCGGAUAGCUUUGUUGGAUAAUAAAAUUGACGAUACCGAUUGUAAUUAUACAAUGGAUUGAUGACAAUCUUGAUUAUACGUCGUAAUUGAUUCUCAACCACGUUAUAUUUGAUAUAAGACCUAUAAUCUUCUUAGUCUGGGUUAGCCAUUGAUGGCGAUUGAACACCUCAGGAUAGAUAUAACGUUUGCAGUUCAUUCAUAUUCAGAAGGGUAAAAAUAUUGGACAGAUUGCUAUUCACCCACCAAAGCAAACAGUUGGAGUUAUGCCCAGUGCAUAAUUAUGUGAAAUCCACAACCAUAUCAUUUAUUUUCUUUUAGGAUUUAAAUUCAAUUUUCAGAAACACUAAGAAAUAGGGAGGAGAAAAUAACAACUACAUAAUAUUGAUUUACUUUAUUCUCCUUUGAACCAUAUUAAUUUUUAGAAUAGAACAACACAAGACCAUACAACUUCAACAUUUAGACAUAAUUCAAGAAGAAAAAUUUCCUAAUCACGUUGUCAGAAUCUGAAGGGUGCCCUUUGAAAGCUGUAUGUACCUCUUUUUCUUUAUCCUUGAAUUUCAUGAUGUUGGGAUUUCACAUGAAUCCCACAUCGGUUAAAUUCAAGAGUGUAGAUGGCUUAAUAAGUAUGGUAGAACAUCAACCUAAUAGGUUAACCUUUUAGGUAAGGAGGUGGUCCAACAUACUUAUUGGGCUCGUCUACACAGGUGUGCGCUGCUAAGGUGAUGAAUAGAUGUGGGAUGGAUCGUUCAAUUCCGCUACACAUGACAAAUGUCAUUUGAUUGUUGCAGGCAUCUUGCACGGAUUGCAAACUAAAUUUUUAUGAAUAACCAUGUAUUUUGGACCAAAUCAACAAAUCUUGAUGGAGGUUUCCUACGUGAUCAAACCAGGUUGGUGCUUACACGUAGACCUUACUUAAAUGAUUUAGCUGCUAAAUAUUUAUUGAUACUUUAUCAGGAGAUUCAUCUCUGUGCACAUGCAAGUAGCCACAUGUUUCCCCUAG
This 2348-nucleotide long non-coding RNA is filed under the name Panax ginseng (ginseng). RNAcentral's name for it is "long non-coding RNA (PGIN_LNC009953)". The record is from RNAcentral. Lineage: Eukaryota; Viridiplantae; Streptophyta; Magnoliopsida; Apiales; Araliaceae.